RNAcentral lists this ribosomal RNA (220 nucleotides) under uncultured bacterium. RNAcentral describes it as "partial 16S ribosomal RNA". It matches the Rfam family "Bacterial small subunit ribosomal RNA", at positions 57 to 305 of the family's 1533-position model. The record is from RNAcentral.
GCAAGUUGAGCGCGCCCUUCGGGGUGAGCGGCGGACGGGUGAGUAACGCGUGGGAAUAUACCCUUCUCUACGGAAUAGCCUCGGGAAACUGAGAGUAAUACCGUAUACGCCCUUCGGGGGAAAGAUUUAUCGGAGAAGGAUCGGCCCGCGUUAGAUUAGAUAGUUGGUGGGGUAACGGCCUACCAAGUCUACGAUCUAUAGCUGGUUUUAGAGGAUGAUC